RNAcentral lists this non-coding RNA (148 nucleotides) under Gorilla gorilla gorilla (western lowland gorilla). The record is from Rfam by way of RNAcentral. Lineage: Eukaryota; Metazoa; Chordata; Mammalia; Primates; Hominidae.
GCCAGGUGUGGUGCUGCGCCCCUGUAGUCCCAGCUACUCGGGAGGCUGAGGUGGGAGGAUGGCUUGAGCCCAGGAAGUGGGGGUUGCAGUGAGCUAAGAUUGUGCCACUGCACUCCAGCCUGGGCAACAGAGCAAGACUCCGUCUCAA